Molecule: ribosomal RNA, 552 nt
Filed under: Cuspivolva bellica
Lineage: Eukaryota; Metazoa; Mollusca; Gastropoda; Littorinimorpha; Ovulidae
Description: partial large subunit ribosomal RNA
Rfam family: Bacterial large subunit ribosomal RNA
Source: RNAcentral
CGCCUGUUUAUCAAAAACAUGUCUCUUUGGACUUUAAUAUAUAAAGAGUCGGGCCUGCCCGGUGAAAAUUUUUAACGGCCGCGGUAUUUUGACUGUGCGAAGGUAGCAUAAUAAUUUGCCCUAUAAUUGAGGGCUAGUAUGAAUGGUUUGACGUGAGCAAAACUGUCUCUAUAUUGAUUUUUUAGAAUUUGAUCUUUAGGUGAAGAAACCUAAAUUUUAUUAAAAGACAAGAAGACCCUAUUGAGCUUUAAAGAAGUAAGCAAGUUAAGAAUUGUUUAGGUGAUAAAUUCAUUUGUUUAAGAUUUUGGUUGGGGCGACUGAGGAAUAGGUAAAGCUUCUUUUAAGUAUUAAGGCUCGCAGGUGUUGAUCCAAGUGUUUUGAUUAAAGAAAUUAGUUACCGUAGGGAUAACAGCAUAAUUUCCUUUGAGAGUUCUUAUCGAAAAGGGAGUUUGUGACCUCGAUGUUGGACUAAAAUUUCCUAAAGAUGUAGUAGUCUUUAAGGGUUGGUCUGUUCGACCAUUAAAAUUUUACGUGAUCUGAGUUCAGACCGGA